RNAcentral lists this unclassified non-coding RNA (213 nucleotides) under Hevea brasiliensis (rubber tree). Lineage: Eukaryota; Viridiplantae; Streptophyta; Magnoliopsida; Malpighiales; Euphorbiaceae. The record is from RNAcentral.
GUCACCUCUUCCGGGCUAGCCCGAGAGUAGAACCCAGCGUUGAUGCAGGUGCCGCCGCCGAGGACGCGGGCGCGCAUGUUGAUAACGCCGUCGUUGGAGAUGAAGGGCUGGGAGGCUGAGGAGGGGGACGUGUCCACGAGGUUGUCGAGGAAGUUGGCGAAGUGGGAUAUGUUCUUGUUGUCGUAAGGAGAGGGUCCUCUUUCAAGUAGCAAG